ACGGCCAUACCACAUUGAAAACACCGGUUCUCGUCCGAUCACCGAAGUUAAGCAAUGUCGGGCCCGGUCAGUACUUGGGAGGGUGACCACCUGGGAACACCAGGUGCUGUAGGCU
RNAcentral lists this ribosomal RNA (115 nucleotides) under Cordylochernes scorpioides. Lineage: Eukaryota; Metazoa; Arthropoda; Arachnida; Pseudoscorpiones; Chernetidae. The record is from RNAcentral.